UACGUAGGGGGCUAGCGUUGUCCGGAUUUAUUGGGCGUAAAGAGCGUGUAGGCGGCCAGAUAGGUCUGCUGUGAAAACUCGAGGCUCAACCUCGAGAUGUCGGCGGAAACCAUUUGGCUAGAGUCCGGAAGAGGAAAGUGGAAUUCCUGGUGUAGCGGUGAAAUGCGCAGAUAUCAGGAGGAACACCGGUGGCGAAGGCGGGUCUCUGGGCCGUAACUGACGCUGAGGAGCGAAAGCGUGGGGAGCGAACAGG
RNAcentral lists this ribosomal RNA (253 nucleotides) under uncultured bacterium. Its description in RNAcentral is "partial 16S ribosomal RNA". It matches the Rfam family "Bacterial small subunit ribosomal RNA", at positions 524 to 776 of the family's 1533-position model. The record is from RNAcentral.